GGGCGUAAGCGCGCGUAGGUGGCUAAGUCAGCCAGGUGUGAAAGCCCCGGGCUCAACCUGGGAACGGCAUCUGGAACUGCUUGGCUAGAGUGCAGGAGAGGAAGGUAGAAUUCCCGGUGUAGCGGUGAAAUGCGUAGAGAUCGGGAGGAAUACCAGUGGCGAAGGCGGCCUUCUGGACUGACACUGACACUGAGGUGCGAAAGCGUGGGUAGCAAACAGGAUUAGAUACCCUGGUAGUCCACGCCGUAAACGAUGUCAACUAGCCGUUGGGUCCCUUGAGGACUUAGUGGCGCAGCUAACGCAAUAAGUUGACCGCCUGGGGAGUACGGCCGCAAGGUUAAAACUCAAAUGAAUUGACGGGGGCCCGCACAAGCGGUGGAGCAUGUGGUUUAAUUCGAUGCAACGCGAAGAACCUUACCUACCCUUGACAUCCAGAGGACUUUCCAGAGAUGGAUUGGUGCCUUCGGGAACUCUGAGACAGGUGCUGCAUGGCUGUCGUCAGCUCGUGUUGUGAAAUGUUGGGUUAAGUCCCGUAACGAGCGCAACCCCUAUCCUUAUUUGCCAGCGAGUAAUGUCGGGAACUCUAAGGAGACUGCCGGUGACAAACCGGAGGAAGGUGGGGACGACGUCAAGUCAUCAUGGCCCUUACGGGUAGGGCUACACACGUGCUACAAUGGCAAGUACAAAGGGUUGCAAUACUGCGAAGUGGAGCCAAUCCCAUAAAGCUUGCCUCAGUCCGGAUUGGAGUCUGCAACUCGACUCCAUGAAGUCGGAAUCGCUAGUAAUCGUGGAUCAGAAUGCCACGGUGAAUACGUUCCCGGGCCUUGUACACACCGCCCGUUCACACCAUGGGGAGUGGACUGCACCAGAAGUGGUUAGCC
RNAcentral lists this ribosomal RNA (881 nucleotides) under Cobetia sp. Its description in RNAcentral is "bacterial SSU rRNA". It matches the Rfam family "Bacterial small subunit ribosomal RNA", at positions 556 to 1435 of the family's 1533-position model. Lineage: Bacteria; Pseudomonadati; Pseudomonadota; Gammaproteobacteria; Oceanospirillales; Halomonadaceae. The record is from RNAcentral.